This is a non-coding RNA of Acanthosepion pharaonis, 109 nucleotides long. The record is from the annotation of a GenBank genome assembly. NCBI's taxonomy places the organism in Eukaryota, Metazoa, Mollusca, Cephalopoda, Sepiida, Sepiidae.
UUACGGCCACAUCACGUUGAGACACUAGUUCCCAUACGAUCACCGAAGUUAAGCAACUUCGAGCCUAAUCAGUAACUAGAUGGGUAACAGCUUGGGAAUAUCAGAUGCU